GACGUAGGAGGCGAGCGUUAUCCGGAUUCACUGGGCGUAAAGCGCAUGUAGGCGGAUGUCUAAGUCGUGUGUUAAAGCCCCUGGCUCAACUGGGGGAGGUCAUGCGAGACUGGAUGACUUGAGGGCAACAGAGGCACGUGGAACUCCCGGUGUAGCGGUGGAAUGCGUAGAGAUCGGGAAGAACACCCGUGGCGAAGGCGGCGUGCUGGGUUGCAACUGACGCUGAGGCACGAAAGUGUGGGGAUCAAACAGG
This 253-nucleotide ribosomal RNA is filed under the name uncultured bacterium. RNAcentral's name for it is "partial 16S ribosomal RNA". It matches the Rfam family "Bacterial small subunit ribosomal RNA", at positions 524 to 776 of the family's 1533-position model. The record is from RNAcentral.